This 1438-nucleotide ribosomal RNA is filed under the name uncultured Bacteroidales bacterium. RNAcentral describes it as "bacterial SSU rRNA". It matches the Rfam family "Bacterial small subunit ribosomal RNA". The record is from RNAcentral. Lineage: Bacteria; Pseudomonadati; Bacteroidota; Bacteroidia; Bacteroidales.
GACGAACGCUGGCGGCGUGCUUAACACAUGCAAGUCGAACGAGGAUUGCAGCAAUGUAAUCUUAGUGGCGGACGGGUGAGUAACGCGUGGGCAACCUGCCUUAUACAGGGGGAUAACAGUGGGAAACUACUGCUAAUACCGCAUAACGUCAUAAGAAGACAUCUUCGUAUGACCAAAGGAGAAAUCCGGUAUAAGAUGGGCCCGCGUCCGAUUAGCUAGUUGGUGAGGUAGAGGCCCACCAAGGCGACGAUCGGUAGCCGAACUGAGAGGUUGAACGGCCACAUUGGGACUGAGAUACGGCCCAGACUCCUACGGGAGGCAGCAGUGGGGAAUAUUGCGCAAUGGGGGGAACCCUGACGCAGCAACGCCGCGUGAAGGAUGAAGGUUUUCGGAUCGUAAACUUCUUUGACAGGGGACGAAAGAAUGACGGUACCCUGAAAACAAGCCACGGCUAACUACGUGCCAGCAGCCGCGGUAAUACGUAGGUGGCGAGCGUUGUCCGGAAUUACUGGGUGUAAAGGGCGUGUAGGUGGGAAUGCAAGUCAGAUGUGAAAUCCCAUGGCUUAACUGUGGGGCUGCAUCUGAAACUGCGUUUCUUGAGUGCUGGAGAGGGAAGCGGAAUUCCAAGUGUAGCGGUGAAAUGCGUAGAUAUUUGGAGGAACACCAGUGGCGAAGGCGGCUUUCUGGACAGUAACUGACACUGAGGCGCGAAAGCGUGGGGAGCAAACAGGAUUAGAUACCCUGGUAGUCCACGCCGUAAACGAUGGAUACUAGGUGUAGGAGGUAUCGACCCCUUCUGUGCCGGAGUUAACACAAUAAGUAUCCCACCUGGGGAGUACGGCCGCAAGGUUGAAACUCAAAGGAAUUGACGGGGGCCCGCACAAGCAGUGGAGUAUGUGGUUUAAUUCGAAGCAACGCGAAGAACCUUACCAGGGCUUGACAUAAUACCGGAUACUGUGGAAACGCAGUAGACCUUCGGGACGGUAUAACAGGUGGUGCAUGGUUGUCGUCAGCUCGUGUCGUGAGAUGUUGGGUUAAGUCCCGCAACGAGCGCAACCCUUGUUGCUAGUUGCCAGCAAGAAAGAUGGGCACUCUAGCGAGACUGCCGGUGACAAAUCGGAGGAAGGUGGGGACGACGUCAAAUCAUCAUGCCCCUUAUGUCCUGGGCUACACACGUACUACAAUGGCUACUACAACAGGAAGCAAAUUCGCAAGGAAGAGCCAAUCCUCAAAAAGUAGUCUCAGUUCAGAUUGUGGGCUGCAACCCGCCCACAUGAAGUCGGAAUUGCUAGUAAUGGCAGGUCAGCAUACUGCCGUGAAUACGUUCCCGGGCCUUGUACACACCGCCCGUCACACCAUGAGAGUCUGUAACACCCGAAGUCAGUAGUUUAACCUUAACGGGGGAACGCUGCCGAAGGUGGGACAGAUGAUUGGGGUG